RNAcentral lists this ribosomal RNA (301 nucleotides) under uncultured bacterium. RNAcentral's name for it is "partial 16S ribosomal RNA". It matches the Rfam family "Bacterial small subunit ribosomal RNA", at positions 509 to 809 of the family's 1533-position model. The record is from RNAcentral.
CAGCAGCCGCGGGAAUACGGAGGGUGCAAGCGUUAAUCGGAAUUACUGGGCGUAAAGCGCACGCAGGCGGUCUGACAAGUCAGAUGUGAAAUCCCCGGGCUUAACCUGGGAACUGCAUUUGAAACUGUCAGGCUGGAGUCUUGUAGAGGGGGGUGGAAUUCCAGGUGUAGCGGUGAAAUGCGUAGAGAUCUGGAGGAAUACCGGUGGCGAAGGCGGCCCCCUGGACAAAGACUGACGCUCAGGUGCGAAAGCGUGGGGAGCAAACAGGAUUAGAGACCCGCGUAGUCCCUGUCUCUUAUAA